Molecule: transfer RNA, 68 nt
Filed under: Carterocephalus silvicola (northern checquered skipper)
Lineage: Eukaryota; Metazoa; Arthropoda; Insecta; Lepidoptera; Hesperiidae
Description: tRNA-Ala
Rfam family: tRNA
About the family: Transfer RNA (tRNA) molecules are approximately 80 nucleotides in length. Their secondary structure includes four short double-helical elements and three loops (D, anti-codon, and T loops).
Source: RNAcentral
AGGGUUAUAGUUUAAAAUUAAAACAUUUGACUUGCAUUCAAAAAAUAUUAAUUUAUUAAUUUAUCUUA